This 25-nucleotide non-coding RNA is filed under the name Rattus norvegicus (Norway rat). The record is from RNAcentral. Lineage: Eukaryota; Metazoa; Chordata; Mammalia; Rodentia; Muridae.
UAACCAGCAUGUGAUUGCCUUGCCC